UUGGAAUAUGGAUAAAUCAAAAUAAUUUAUUUGGCAUUUAAUAGGAGAUCUAUUUUGGAGCAUUCAAAAAAGAUUUUUAUCCGAAUACAAUGAAAUAAACGGCAGGAAAAUAAUCAUAAUACUCCCAUUCGUAAACCCUUGAAAAUUCAAGCGUAAAAUCUUCCUUACAUUCUGAUCAUUAACACUUCCAUUUUUACAGAUUCCGACCUUGUUUUCGGAGAUUCAUCAUUCGAUGGUUUUCUGACCAGAAGUUGCAAUUCCACUGGUUAGGUUGGUACAAUCGAAAUAUGGAGAUCGAUAAAGCAAUAAAUGAAAGUGAUGAUGUAAGAUUGAAGACAAAAUACAACAACGCCGUCUACGUUAUCCAACGGGCUCUCGCCCUCUACUCUGUUGAAGAGGUUGCCUUAAGCCUCAAUGGAGGAAAGGAUUCAACUGU
Molecule: non-coding RNA, 436 nt
Organism: Erythranthe guttata (spotted monkey flower)
Lineage: Eukaryota; Viridiplantae; Streptophyta; Magnoliopsida; Lamiales; Phrymaceae
Source: RefSeq, a predicted model, not a curated record